RNAcentral lists this ribosomal RNA (464 nucleotides) under Vreelandella stevensii. RNAcentral describes it as "partial 16S ribosomal RNA". It matches the Rfam family "Bacterial small subunit ribosomal RNA", at positions 338 to 795 of the family's 1533-position model. Lineage: Bacteria; Pseudomonadati; Pseudomonadota; Gammaproteobacteria; Oceanospirillales; Halomonadaceae. The record is from RNAcentral.
CCUACGGGGGGCUGCAGUGGGGAAUAUUGGACAAUGGGGGAACCCUGAUCCAGCCAUGCCGCGUGUGUGAAGAAGGCCCUCGGGUUGUAAAGCACUUUCAGUGAGGAAGAACGCCUGGUGGUUAAUACCCAUCAGGAAAGACAUCACUCACAGAAGAAGCACCGGCUAACUCCGUGCCAGCAGCCGCCGUAAUACGGAGGGUGCGAGCGUUAAUCGGAAUUACUGGGCGUAAAGCGCGCGUAGGUGGCUUGAUAAGCCGGUUGUGAAAGCCCCGGGCUCAACCUGGGAACGGCAUCCGGAACUGUCAAGCUAGAGUGCAGGAGAGGAAGGUAGAAGUCCCGGUGUAGCGGUGAAAUGCGUAGAGAUCGGGAGGAAUACCAGUGGCGAAGGCGGCCUUCUGGACUGACACUGACACUGAGGUGCGAAAGCGUGGGUAGCAAACAGGAUUAGAUACCCGGGUAGUC